GCAUGCGCGAAUCCCGACUGAUUAGUGACCCGGGGGGGCUUGCGGGAGUGCGCAGCGCGGCCGGGCGCGACUGGAGGCCCUUUUGGCCUGGAGAGCUUCGGCCUUCACGGCUGGCGCAGCCUGGAUUCCCGUCCGGAGGACUCGGCGGCACCCGGUGUUUGCGUGCCUGCGAGCAAGGGUUUGCUGGCCUAGACCUGAACUCUUCAGAUAAUCAGAGUGGAGGAAGUACAGCCAGCAAAGGGCGCUAUAUUCCUCCUCAUUUAAGGAACCGAGAAGCUACUAAAGGUUUCUACGAUAAAGACAGUUCAGGGUGGAGUUCUAGCAAAGAUAAGGAUGCGUAUAGCAGUUUUGGAUCUCGUAGUGAUUCAAGAGGGAAGUCUAGCUUCUUCAGUGAUCGUGGAAGUGGAUCAAGGGGAAGGUUUGAUGAUCGUGGACGGAGUGAUUACGACGGCAUUGGCAGCCGUGGUGACAGAAGUGGCUUUGGCAAAUUUGAACGUGGUGGAAACAGUCGCUGGUGUGACAAAUCAGAUGAAGAUGAUUGGUCAAAACCACUCCCACCAAGUGAACGCUUGGAACAGGAACUCUUUUCUGGAGGCAACACUGGGAUUAAUUUUGAGAAAUAUGAUGACAUUCCAGUUGAGGCAACAGGCAACAACUGUCCUCCACAUAUUGAAAGUGAAAAUGGAAGGUAUGGGCGCCGCAAACAAUACCCAAUCUCCUUGGUAUUAGCACCAACGAGAGAGUUGGCAGUACAGAUCUACGAGGAAGCCAGAAAAUUUUCAUACCGAUCUAGAGUUCGUCCUUGCGUGGUUUAUGGUGGUGCCGAUAUUGGUCAGCAGAUUCGAGACUUGGAACGUGGAUGCCAUUUGUUAGUAGCCACUCCAGGACGUCUAGUGGAUAUGAUGGAAAGAGGAAAGAUUGGAUUAGACUUUUGCAAAUAUUUGGUGUUAGAUGAAGCUGAUCGGAUGUUGGAUAUGGGGUUUGAACCUCAGAUUCGUAGAAUAGUUGAACAAGAUACUAUGCCUCCAAAGGGUGUCCGCCACACUAUGAUGUUUAGUGCUACUUUCCCUAAGGAAAUACAGGUACUGUUUGAUGUUGCAAAUUUUAUUUGUUUAGAAAUUUGUUUAUCUCAGGUAAUAAUAAAAAUUUUUUUUCUUUCAGAUGCUGGCUCGUGAUUUCUUAGAUGAAUAUAUCUUCUUGGCUGUAGGAAGAGUUGGCUCUACCUCUGAAAACAUCACACAGAAAGUAGUUUGGGUGGAAGAAUCAGACAAACGGUCAUUUCUGCUUGACCUCCUAAAUGCAACAGGCAAGGAUUCACUGACCUUAGUGUUUGUGGAGACCAAAAAGGGUGCAGAUUCUCUGGAGGAUUUCUUGUACCAUGAAGGAUACGCAUGUACCAGUAUCCAUGGAGACCGUUCUCAGAGGGAUAGAGAAGAGGCCCUUCACCAGUUCCGCUCAGGAAAAAGCCCAAUUCUAGUGGCUACAGCAGUAGCAGCAAGAGGACUGGACAUUUCAAAUGUGAAACAUGUUAUCAA
RNAcentral lists this small RNA (1535 nucleotides) under Pongo abelii (Sumatran orangutan). RNAcentral describes it as "processed transcript". Lineage: Eukaryota; Metazoa; Chordata; Mammalia; Primates; Hominidae. The record is from RNAcentral.